UGCCUAAUACAUGCAAGUCGAGCGGACAGAUGGGAGCUUGCUCCCUGAUGUUAGCGGCGGACGGGUGAGUAACACGUGGGUAACCUGCCUGUAAGACUGGGAUAACUCCGGGAAACCGGGGCUAAUACCGGAUGGUUGUUUGAACCGCAUGGUUCAAACAUAAAAGGUGGCUUCGGCUACCACUUACAGAUGGACCCGCGGCGCAUUAGCUAGUUGGUGAGGUAAUGGCUCACCAAGGCAACGAUGCGUAGCCGACCUGAGAGGGUGAUCGGCCACACUGGGACUGAGACACGGCCCAGACUCCUACGGGAGGCAGCAGUAGGGAAUCUUCCGCAAUGGACGAAAGUCUGACGGAGCAACGCCGCGUGAGUGAUGAAGGUUUUCGGAUCGUAAAGCUCUGUUGUUAGGGAAGAACAAGUACCGUUCGAAUAGGGCGGUACCUUGACGGUACCUAACCAGAAAGCCACGGCUAACUACGUGCCAGCAGCCGCGGUAAUACGUAGGUGGCAAGCGUUGUCCGGAAUUAUUGGGCGUAAAGGGCUCGCAGGCGGUUUCUUAAGUCUGAUGUGAAAGCCCCCGGCUCAACCGGGGAGGGUCAUUGGAAACUGGGGAACUUGAGUGCAGAAGAGGAGAGUGGAAUUCCACGUGUAGCGGUGAAAUGCGUAGAGAUGUGGAGGAACACCAGUGGCGAAGGCGACUCUCUGGUCUGUAACUGACGCUGAGGAGCGAAAGCGUGGGGAGCGAACAGGAUUAGAUACCCUGGUAGUCCACGCCGUAACGAUGAGUGCUAAGUGUUAGGGGGGUUUCCGCCCCUUAGUGCUGCAGCUAACGCAUUAAGCACUCCGCCUGGGGAGUACGGUCGCA
This 864-nucleotide ribosomal RNA is filed under the name Bacillus cereus. RNAcentral's name for it is "bacterial SSU rRNA". It matches the Rfam family "Bacterial small subunit ribosomal RNA", at positions 45 to 890 of the family's 1533-position model. Lineage: Bacteria; Bacillati; Bacillota; Bacilli; Caryophanales; Bacillaceae. The record is from RNAcentral.